Long non-coding RNA from Equus quagga, 3850 nucleotides. RefSeq lists it as uncharacterized. Lineage: Eukaryota; Metazoa; Chordata; Mammalia; Perissodactyla; Equidae. The transcript has 4 exons. The record is from RefSeq and is a predicted model, not a curated record.
CCGGCACUCUGCGGUCUUUGCGCCUUAUGGGGUCGCUGCAAGCAGGUUGGAGCCCCAGGGGCUCCGCACACCCUGAUUGAACUGACUCCGCUGAUUCCCGCUGAUCAGUCUUUCUCGGAAAGCCCCUCAGAUUGCUCGUUUGUCUCGGCUCCCUGGACCUGGUCGAGGCUUCAAUCCCGUCCGCCAGGCUUGUUGCAGCUGGCCAAAGUGCUCCUUCUUAUAAUUCACGUUACUGCUCUGCCACCCCAACCAGACUUUCUUGCAAAACUUGGUAUUUCAAUUAGUCUGCAGAUAUUUCUUGAAUACCAAAUAUGUGGAAGUAGCUUUCUUAGUGUGAGAAAAGCAAGAUUUGACUCCCAAGACUCAUCAUCUACGUGGAAAGAUAAAACAAAGACACAAAUAGCUAUAGUAUAAGACGCUCUGCAGUCUCUGGACUGGGUCUUUUCCAAGAGGACACAGAAGAGGAGAGAAUGGCAGCUGUGCCCCUAGCAGCCAGAUGGCAGUUGAAGAGAGGCAAAGAGCCAUGGAAACUUGAUCAUCAGGAAGCUGAAGAGAGAGAAGUCCCAGGAAGCACUUCUCUAGGAAUGUGUGAGCUGGGCAGAUGGGGCUUUGCUGGACAGUUCACUUAGAGACCACUCCUUAGGAUCACAUAGACCUAUGAGAUGGUCACUGCCACACUGGCCUUUGCCUGGAAAACUCGUACCAUGUAUAGCCACAUGGCCUUCUUGUCACCUUUUUCAAGUUUUUGCUCAAAUGUGCCACCUUCUCAGUCAGGCCUGGCCUGACGACCCUAUGUAAAAUUGAACCCUCUCCAUCCCUUUGUCCCUCCCAGCCCCUGCACCACCCGGCUCUCUUCCCGACUCUGUCUUCCUAACAUACUAUAGUUUUACUUCUUCAUUUUGUUGGUUGUCUGUCCACACCUACCCUCUGUUAAAGUAUAAACUCCAUCAGAGACUUUUUCUGUUGUUUGCUACUGUAUCCCCAGUACUUCAAACAGUACCUGGUACAGAGCACACACUCAGGUAUUUGUCAGAUGAAUGAAUAAGUGGAGUGUGCAUAGCAAGGCCCGCCCCCAAUGGGUUUUUUGCAGGGAGGGUUGAGAUCUAUCGUCAUUUCAACUCUGAUAUCACUUUCUUAUCUUUUCUGCGUAUCCUUUACUGUAUCUCCUCCUCUUCCUUUAAAUUACCAUUCAGUGGCCAUUGACAGUUCACUUUCUCAGGUGCUAGCCUAUCUCCCCACUUUUUCUCUGCUGUUUACACUCAUCGAGUAACAAACUGCCCAGUCAUUUCCCCGCUUCAUUGUGUAUCUCCUAUUUUUAUGCACGUAUCUCUCUCUCUGAAAUGCUCUUCUUUUGGCUGUGUACUUGGUUAACAACUUUCAGAUCUCAGCUUAAAUGUCACUUCUAGAUGACCGUUCUUAAGGGUCCCUCUAAAGAAGCCCCCACUCCAACUCUCAUUCAUCAUUUCCUUUGCUGUACUUAUCACCAUCUGUUAUAUUUUGUUUAUUUAUUCUUUGUCUUCUGUCUAGUAGAAUAUAAGCAUAACAAGGGUGGGGACCAUGUCUGUCUUGUUCAUUAGGGUCCCAAUGACUUUUACCAUGCCUCCUUACCACUUAGCAGGCCCCUGGUAAAUAUCUCAUGAAUGAAUAACUGAAACUUGUUCAGUGGGCUAGAUGCCCACCUUCCACUUCUGGUCUCUAUUCCUCUUUUUUCCUCUGCCAUUUUUCAGCCUCCCCGUAAUGUUUUUUCUCUGAGGAGCUACCAAUAAACCCAGCAGUAUUUUGUAUUUGUUCUUUUCUUAAUAUAUAUACAAUGUUUUCCUUUUCACUAGCACUCAAACCCAGUUAUAUCUGUGUUUUCUGUUUGUUUUAUACCAGAAGGCUAGACUUAAGAGCCAGGACUCAACUGAAAAGCAGGAUGUUUCUAAAAAAGUAAAGUCAUUACUGAAAAUACAAGACAUGAAUGAAAAACCUCAGAAAAGAUGGUCCUCUGGGUCCUGUACUUGGCCCAGAAAACCCUGAGGGCACAAAGAAAGAAAAUGCUUCAGGGGAGACUUUGAAGAAAUCUUCCCCCAAGGAGAAGGACUCAGGCAGGGAUACACUCUUGCCAAACAAACUGACAGUAAGGAGAUACAGUUGGAAUGCAGCGUAUGUGGGAAGACCUUAUAUAACCAUUUACCCCUCGCUUGCCAUCAGAGGACUCACACUGGAGAGAAGCUCUAUGACUAUAAAGAAUGCGGGAAAGCCUUCAGCUAUAGGAGUAGUCUUAAGAAACAUUUGAUGUCUCACACUGGGAAGAGCACCUCUGAAGGCAGCGAAUGUCAGGAACCUUUCUAUGACCAAUUAACCCUUAUUGAACAUCAGCGAAGUCAUACCAGAGGGAAGCCUUUUGAAUGUAAUGAAUGUGACAAGGCUUUCUUUGUCCACUUGUGCUUUACUCCACAUCAGAGAAUUCAUACUGGAGAAAGACCUUGUGAGUGUACAGAAUGUGGGAAAUCCUUUAGCCAGAAAAGCAAUCUCAGUCACCACAUGCUCACUCACCCUGGAGAGUGGCCCUGUGGGUGCAAGGCAUGUGGCAAAGCUCUGCUUGACCACUCCUCCCUCAUUCACCACAGGAAAGCGCACACUAGAAAGUCCCCUUUUGAAUGUAAUGAGUGUGGGAAAAUUUUCUUUGACCCCUCAUCCCUUAAUAAGCAUCAGAAAAUUCAUAGUGGAGACAAACCCUAGAAAGGCACUGAAUGUGGGAAAACCUUCCUCCAGAAAAGACAACUUAUUCAACAUGAAAGAGUGCACACUGGAGAGAAAUCCUGCAAGUACAGCGUGUACGGGAAAGUGCUCAGUUGAAAGUCAUCUAUCAUCCGACAUCAGUGACAUUAUGCAAACAGGCUUCAGAGUAUCACAAAGGUGCUUCAGCUGGACAAGGGACCCCUGUAGUGACUUUGAAACCAGAGGCCAACUUGCUUUAACUAUACUCAGUUAGUUGUCUGUUUGCAAAAGUAGUCAGAUAAUGCAUUACUAAAACCUACCCUGUAAAUAACAUCUCUGAUGCCUGGGUCACCAUAGUAACAGGUGCUUGAGUUUUUCAAGAACUGAGAGUCGACUCCUUGUCCAGUUCAGGCUGGUUAAGACAACCAACUCAUCAACUGGACCUGCGCAGAUGACCAAUAGGUGACACUGUGACAUCAAGGAGCUGAAAACUCCACCCUCAGAUCAUGGUAAUGCUACCAUUUUGUGAACAUGUGUCCUGUGAAGAGCCAUGAAGCUUGACUACACUUGCACGGAUCAUCAGUUACCUCACUUCUCCUUACCUCCAAUCAUCUUUUCCCACUUCAGACCACCCUGCCUGCCCCCUUAUCCCAUAAAUAACCCUAGUCCCCAUUUUGGAGGGAGGUAGAUUUGCCCACCUCCUCGCUUGGCUGCCUUGUGAUUAAAUCCUUUCUCUUUGCAGACUCGUCAUCUCAAUGAUUGGCAUAAUUGUGUGCCAGGCAAAACAAACCUGGUUCAGUAACUUCAAGAUAAUGAAGAUUUAUCUUUGAGCGCCUUCUAACUACUGUUUAUUCUCAUGCCUCCAUUUGGUACCAGAGUCUUAAUAAAUAGUCUCAAUGGAUCACACCAUGGACUUCCCCUGGGGUACUUCAAAUUUAAGAUAAUAGUCUGAGGAGCCCCAAAUUGAUCAGAUCAGAAGCUGUCCAAUCAACAUGCUUUGUAAGUGUUUGAAGGGGAUUCUAAGAUAAGCAUCAUAUAUUUUAUUUAUUUAUUUAUUCAUUCAUUCAUUGCUAGACUGCUCCAUGAGAACAAGAACUUUUUCAUAUCCAUGCACUGCUGUGUUCCCAGUGGUGCCUGGCACUUAUUA